RNAcentral lists this ribosomal RNA (274 nucleotides) under uncultured bacterium. RNAcentral describes it as "partial 16S ribosomal RNA". It matches the Rfam family "Bacterial small subunit ribosomal RNA", at positions 523 to 796 of the family's 1533-position model. The record is from RNAcentral.
AUACGAAAGGUGCAAGCGUUGUUCGGAUUUACUGGGCGUAAAGAGAGUGUAGGUUGUUUAUUAAGUCGGAUGUGAAAUCCCGGGGCUCAACCCCGGAACUGCAUUCGAUACUGAUAGGCUAGAGUUCGGGAGGGGUAAGCGGAAUUCCGUGUGUAGCAGUGAAAUGCGUAGAUAUACGGAGGAACACCUGAGGCGAAGGCGGCUUACUGGACCGAUACUGACACUGAGACUCGAAAGCGUGGGUAGCAAACAGGAUUAGAAACCCCUGUAGUCC